This 403-nucleotide ribosomal RNA is filed under the name uncultured microorganism. Its description in RNAcentral is "bacterial SSU rRNA". It matches the Rfam family "Archaeal small subunit ribosomal RNA", at positions 330 to 735 of the family's 1478-position model. The record is from RNAcentral.
GCGCACCAGUCGAGAAACCUCCGCAAUGCGGGCAACCGCGACGGGGGACCCCCAGUGCCGUGGCAUCGCCACGGCUUUUCCGGAGUGUAAAAAGCACCGGGAAUAAGGGCUGGGCAAGGCCGGUGGCAGCCGCCGCGGUAAUACCGGCGGCCCGGGUGGUGGCCGCUAUUAUUGGGCCUAAAGCGUCCGUAGCCGGGCCUGUAAGUCCCUGGCGAAAUCCCACGGCUCAACCGUGGGGCUUGCUGGGGAUACUGCAGGCCUUGGGACCGGGAGAGGCCGGGGGUACCCCUGGGGUAGGGGUGAAAUCCUAUAAUCCCAGGGGGACCGCCAGUGGCGAAGGCGCCCGGCUGGAACGGGUCCGACGGUGAGGGACGAAGGCCAGGGGAGCGAACCGGAUUAGAUA